UUCUUUUCAAACAAUAAGUGCCCUACCUCUCACUUAUCGUUACGGUUCCUAGACCGAGCCACUUGAAUGAAAAAAAUGUAUGCCGU
Molecule: small RNA, 86 nt
Filed under: Shouchella lehensis G1
Lineage: Bacteria; Bacillati; Bacillota; Bacilli; Caryophanales; Bacillaceae
Description: Bacillus lehensis G1 BsrC
Rfam family: BsrC
About the family: The 301 nucleotide sequence from Kouji Nakamura has been trimmed to a highly conserved ~85 nucleotide long core to form this family.
Source: Rfam by way of RNAcentral